AAUAGAUACCCCGGUAGUCCACGCCGUAAACGAUGAGUGCUAAGUGUUAGGGGGUUUCCGCCCCUUAGUGCUGCAGCUAACGCAUUAAGCACUCCGCCUGGGGAGUACGGUCGCAAGACUGAAACUCAAAGGAAUUGACGGGGGCCCGCACAAGCGAUGGAGCAUGUGGUUUAAUUCGAAGCAACGCGAAGAACCUUACCAGGUCUUGACAUCCCAUUGACCACUAUGGAGACAUAGUUUUCCCUUCGGGGACAACGGUGACAGGUGGUGCAUGGUUGUCGUCAGCUCGUGUCGUGAGAUGUUGGGUUAAGUCCCGCAACGAGCGCAACCCUUGUUCUUAGUUGCCAUCAUUUAGUUGGGCACUCUAAGGAGACUGCCGGUGACAAACCGGAGGAAGGUGGGGAUGACGUCAAAUCAUCAUGCCCCUUAUGACCUGGGCUACACACGUGCUACAAUGGACGGUACAAACGGUUGCCAACCCGCGAGGGGGAGCUAAUCCGAUAAAACCGUUCUCAGUUCGGAUUGUAGGCUGCAACUCGCCUACA
RNAcentral lists this ribosomal RNA (545 nucleotides) under uncultured bacterium. RNAcentral describes it as "bacterial SSU rRNA". It matches the Rfam family "Bacterial small subunit ribosomal RNA", at positions 777 to 1320 of the family's 1533-position model. The record is from RNAcentral.